Molecule: ribosomal RNA, 254 nt
Filed under: uncultured bacterium
Lineage: Bacteria
Description: partial 16S ribosomal RNA
Rfam family: Bacterial small subunit ribosomal RNA
Source: RNAcentral
UACGUAGGAGGCGAGCGUUGUCCGGAAUUACUGGGCGUAAAGCGCGCGUAGGUGGCGCGGUACGACCGCUGUGAAAGCCCCCGGCUCAACUGGGGAGGGUCAGUGGUAACGGCCGUGCUGAGAGUGCAGGAGAGGGAAGUGGAACUCCGGGAGUAGCGGUGAAAUGCGUAGAGACCCGGAGGAACACCAGUGGCGAAGGCGGCUUCCUGGCCUGUGACUGACGCUGAGGCGCGAAAGCUAGGGGAGCGAACGGG